AUUGAACGCUGGCGGAAUGCUUUACACAUGCAAGUCGAGCGGCAGCGCGGGGCAACCUGGCGGCGAGCGGCGAACGGGUGAGUAAUGCAUCGGAACAUGUCCAUGUCGUGGGGGAUAGCCCGGCGAAAGCCGGAUUAAUACCGCAUACGCCCGAGAGGGGAAAGUGGGGGACCGCAAGGCCUCACGCGAUUGGGUUGGCCGAUGUCCGAUUAGCUAGUUGGUGGGGUAAAGGCNCACCAAGGCGAUGAUCGGUAGCUGGUCUGAGAGGAUGAUCAGCCACACUGGGACUGAGACACGGCCCAGACUCCUACGGGAGGCAGCAGUGGGGAAUUUUGGACAAUGGGGGCAACCCUGAUCCAGCCAUUCCGCGUGAGUGAAGAAGGCCU
This 386-nucleotide ribosomal RNA is filed under the name uncultured bacterium. RNAcentral describes it as "bacterial SSU rRNA". It matches the Rfam family "Bacterial small subunit ribosomal RNA", at positions 29 to 417 of the family's 1533-position model. The record is from RNAcentral.